AAGCUGGCCACCGGAAGAGUUUGAUCCUGGCUCAGAUUGAACGCUGGCGGCAGGCCUAACACAUGCAAGUCGAGCGGAUGAGUGGAGCUUGCUCCAUGAUUCAGCGGCGGACGGGUGAGUAAUGCCUAGGAAUCUGCCUGGUAGUGGGGGACAACGUUUCGAAAGGAACGCUAAUACCGCAUACGUCCUACGGGAGAAAGUGGGGGAUCUUCGGACCUCACGCUAUCAGAUGAGCCUAGGUCGGAUUAGCUAGUUGGUGAGGUAAAGGCUCACCAAGGCGACGAUCCGUAACUGGUCUGAGAGGAUGAUCAGUCACACUGGAACUGAGACACGGUCCAGACUCCUACGGGAGGCAGCAGUGGGGAAUAUUGGACAAUGGGCGAAAGCCUGAUCCAGCCAUGCC
RNAcentral lists this ribosomal RNA (403 nucleotides) under uncultured bacterium. RNAcentral's name for it is "bacterial SSU rRNA". It matches the Rfam family "Bacterial small subunit ribosomal RNA", at positions 1 to 398 of the family's 1533-position model. The record is from RNAcentral.